Paramuricea clavata is the source of this 135-nucleotide non-coding RNA. The record is from the annotation of a GenBank genome assembly. Lineage: Eukaryota; Metazoa; Cnidaria; Anthozoa; Malacalcyonacea; Plexauridae.
UGAUGAUGAUGAUAGUGAUGAUGGUGGUGAUAAUCAUGGUGGUGAUGAUAUUGAUGGUCAUUGUAAAGAUGUUGAUUAUAAUGAUAGUGGUAUUUUGCAUGGUGAUGAAGAUCAUCAUCACCAUCAUAAUCACAA